This 497-nucleotide ribosomal RNA is filed under the name uncultured bacterium. Its description in RNAcentral is "partial 16S ribosomal RNA". It matches the Rfam family "Bacterial small subunit ribosomal RNA", at positions 28 to 507 of the family's 1533-position model. The record is from RNAcentral.
GAUGAACGCUGGCGGCGUGCCUAAUACAUGCAAGUCGAGCGAACAGAUAAGGAGCUUGCUCCUUUGACGUUAGCGGCGGACGGGUGAGUAACACGUGGGUAACCUACCUAUAAGACUGGAAUAACUCCGGGAAACCGGGGCUAAUGCCGGAUAACAUUUAGAACCGCAUGGUUCUAAAGUGAAAGAUGGUUUUACUAUCACUUAUAGAUGGACCCGCGCCGUAUUAGCUAGUUGGUAAGGUAACGGCUUACCAAGGCAACGAUCCGUAGCCGACCUGAGAGGGUGAUCGGCCACACUGGAACUGAGACACGGUCCAGACCCCUACGGGAGGAAGCAUUAGGGAAUCUUCGCCAAUGGGCGAAAGCCUGACGGAGCAACGCCGCGUGAGUGAUGAAGGUCUUCGGAUCGUAAAACUCUGUUAUUAGGGAAGAACAAAGGUGUAAGUAACUGUGCACGUCUUGACGGUACCUAAUCAGAAAGCCACGGCUAACUACGUG